RNAcentral lists this ribosomal RNA (549 nucleotides) under Rhizophagus sp. (in: glomeromycetes). RNAcentral's name for it is "SSU rRNA". It matches the Rfam family "Eukaryotic small subunit ribosomal RNA", at positions 548 to 1098 of the family's 1831-position model. Lineage: Eukaryota; Fungi; Glomeromycota; Glomeromycetes; Glomerales; Glomeraceae. The record is from RNAcentral. RNAcentral also lists the same sequence under 1 other name.
UUGGAGGGCAAGUCUGGUGCCAGCAGCCGCGGUAAUUCCAGCUCCAAUAGCGUAUAUUAAAGUUGUUGCAGUUAAAAAGCUCGCAGUUGAAUUUCGGGGUUAGUAGGUUGGUCAUGCCUCUGGUAUGUACUGGUCUCACUGAUUCCUCCUUCCUGAUGAACCGUAAUGCCAUUAAUUUGGUGUUGCGGGGAAUUUGGACUGUUACUUUGAAAAAAUUAGAGUGUUUAAAGCAAGCUAACGCUUGAAUACAUUAGCAUGGAAUAAUGAAAUAGGACGUUCGAUCCUAUUUUGUUGGUUUCUAGGAUUGACGUAAUGAUUAAUAGGGAUAGUUGGGGGCAUUAGUAUUCAAUUGUCAGAGGUGAAAUUCUUGGAUUUAUUGAAGACUAACUACUGCGAAAGCAUUUGCCAAGGAUGUUUUCAUUAAUCAAGAACGAAAGUUAGGGGAUCGAAGACGAUCAGAUACCGUCGUAGUCUUAACCAUAAACUAUGCCGACUAGGGAUCGGAUGAUGUUAAUUUUUUAAUGACUCAUUCGGCGCCUUACGGGAAAC